AAGUAUUUGAGUAAUGCGGAAAGAGAGUUAAUAAGACAGGGAAGAGGUAGAGCAUGGAUGGAGUUCUCAAGAGCAAAAUAGAGCUCUUGUGACUCUACUCAUGCACUGCCURUUCCCUGGCUUUGCCUCCCUCUCCUUCCUUUUUCUCAUCCUCUU
Molecule: microRNA precursor, 156 nt
Filed under: Malus domestica (apple)
Lineage: Eukaryota; Viridiplantae; Streptophyta; Magnoliopsida; Rosales; Rosaceae
Description: miR408c stem-loop (mdm-MIR408c)
Gene: mdm-MIR408c
Source: miRBase by way of RNAcentral